This 763-nucleotide ribosomal RNA is filed under the name uncultured Alphaproteobacteria bacterium. Its description in RNAcentral is "bacterial SSU rRNA". It matches the Rfam family "Bacterial small subunit ribosomal RNA", at positions 8 to 807 of the family's 1533-position model. The record is from RNAcentral. Lineage: Bacteria; Pseudomonadati; Pseudomonadota; Alphaproteobacteria.
AGGGUUUGAUCCUGGCUCAGAACGAACGCUGGCGGCAUGCCUAACACAUGCAAGUCGAACGGGAUCCGGACUUCGGUUCGGUGAGAGUGGCGGACGGGUGAGUAACGCGUGGGAACCUGCCCAGUGGUGGGGGAUAACUGCGGGAAACUGCAGCUAAUACCGCAUGAGCCCGAAGGGGGAAAGAUUGAUCGCCAUUGGAGGGGCCCGCGUUCGAUUAGGUAGUUGGUGGGGUAACGGCCUACCAAGCCUGCGAUCGAUAGCUGGUCUGAGAGGAUGAUCAGCCACACUGGGACUGAGAUACGGCCCAGACUCCUACGGGAGGCAGCAGUGGGGAAUAUUGGACAAUGGGGGCAACCCUGAUCCAGCAAUGCCGCGUGAGUGAUGAAGGCCUUCGGGUUGUAAAGCUCUUUUGCCAGGGACGAUGAUGACGGUACCUGGAGAAUAAGCCCCGGCUAACUUCGUGCCAGCAGCCGCGGUAAUACGAAGGGGGCAAGCGUUGUUCGGAAUUACUGGGCGUAAAGGGCGCGUAGGCGGCUUGCCAAGUCAGGCGUGAAAUUCCCGGGCUCAACCUGGGGGCUGCGCUUGAUACUGGCUGGCUUGAAUGCGGGAGAGGAUGGUGGAAUUCCCAGUGUAGAGGUGAAAUUCGUAGAUAUUGGGAAGAACACCGGUGGCGAACGCGGCCAUCUGGCCCGUGAUUGACGCUGAGGCGCGAAAGCGUGGGGAGCAAACAGGAUUAGAUACCCUGGUAGUCCACGCCGUAAAC